RNAcentral lists this ribosomal RNA (253 nucleotides) under uncultured bacterium. Its description in RNAcentral is "partial 16S ribosomal RNA". It matches the Rfam family "Bacterial small subunit ribosomal RNA", at positions 524 to 776 of the family's 1533-position model. The record is from RNAcentral.
UACAGAGACUGCAAGCGUUAUUCGGAUUCACUGGGCGUAAAGGGUGCGCAGGUGGCUUGGCAAGUUUGAUGUGAAAGCUCAGGGCUUAACCCUGAAAUGGCAUUGAAUACUGUUGAGCUGGAGGUUUGGAGGGGGGACUGGAAUUCUUGGUGUAGCAGUGAAAUGCGUAGAUAUCAAGAGGAACACCAGUGGCGAAGGCGAGUCCCUGGACAACACCUGACACUGAGGCACGAAAGCUAGGGGAGCAAACAGG